ACCGCUUUCGGGCGGGGAUUAGUGGCGAACGGGUGAGUAACACGUGGGCAAUCUGCCCUGCACUCUGGGACAAGCCCUGGAAACGGGGUCUAAUACCGGAUAUGACUGUCCAUCGCAUGGUGGAUGGUGUAAAGCUCCGGCGGUGCAGGAUGAGCCCGCGGCCUAUCAGCUUGUUGGUGAGGUAGUGGCUCACCAAGGCGACGACGGGUAGCCGGCCUGAGAGGGCGACCGGCCACACUGGGACUGAGACACGGCCCAGACUCCUACGGGAGGCAGCAGUGGGGAAUAUUGCACAAUGGGCGAAAGCCUGAUGCAGCGACGCCGCGUGAGGGAUGACGGCCUUCGGGUUGUAAACCUCUUUCAGCAGGGAAGAAGCGAAAGUGACGGUACCUGCAGAAGAAGCGCCGGCUAACUACGUGCCAGCAGCCGCGGUAAUACGUAGGGCGCAAGCGUUGUCCGGAAUUAUUGGGCGUAAAGAGCUCGUAGGCGGCUUGUCACGUCGGUUGUGAAAGCCCGGGGCUUAACCCCGGGUCUGCAGUCGAUACGGGCAGGCUAGAGUUCGGUAGGGGAGAUCGGAAUUCCUGGUGUAGCGGUGAAAUGCGCAGAUAUCAGGAGGAACACCGGUGGCGAAGGCGGAUCUCUGGGCCGAUACUGACGCUGAGGAGCGAAAGCGUGGGGAGCGAACAGGAUUAGAUACCCUGGUAGUCCACGCCGUAAACGGUGGGCAC
This 728-nucleotide ribosomal RNA is filed under the name Streptomyces sp. YIM 61428. RNAcentral describes it as "bacterial SSU rRNA". It matches the Rfam family "Bacterial small subunit ribosomal RNA", at positions 73 to 816 of the family's 1533-position model. The record is from RNAcentral. Lineage: Bacteria; Bacillati; Actinomycetota; Actinomycetes; Kitasatosporales; Streptomycetaceae.